This 115-nucleotide ribosomal RNA is filed under the name Meriones unguiculatus (Mongolian gerbil). The record is from RNAcentral. Lineage: Eukaryota; Metazoa; Chordata; Mammalia; Rodentia; Muridae.
UAUGGUUUUACUACCUUGAAUGGGCUCCAUCUCAUCUGACCUCGUAAGCUAAGCAGGGCUGGGCCUGGUUGAUAUUUGGAUGUAAGACUACCUGAGAAUCCCAACACUUUAAAAA